RNAcentral lists this ribosomal RNA (438 nucleotides) under uncultured bacterium. RNAcentral describes it as "partial 16S ribosomal RNA". It matches the Rfam family "Bacterial small subunit ribosomal RNA", at positions 339 to 795 of the family's 1533-position model. The record is from RNAcentral.
CUACGGGCUGCUCCAGUGAGGAAUAUUGCACAAUGGGGGGAACCCUGAUGCAGCAACGCCGCGUGGAGGAUGACGCAUUUCGGUGUGUAAACUCCUUUUAUAUGUCAAGAAAAUGACGGUAGCAUAUGAAUAAGCACCGGCUAACUCCGUGCGAGCAGCCGCGGUAAUACGGAGGGGCAAGCGUUACUCGGAAUCACUGGGCGUAAAGGACGCGUAGGCGGGUUGGAAAGUCAGGUGUGAAAUCCUACAGCUUAACUGUAGAACUGCACUUGAAACUUCUAAUCUAGAGUAUGGGAGGGGGAGAUGGAAUUAGUGGUGUAGGGGUAAAAUCCGUAGAUAUCACUAGGAAUACCUAAAGCGAAGGCGAUCUCCUGGAACAUUACUGACGCUAAGGCGUGAAAGCGUAGGGAGCAAACAGGAUUAGAUACCCGAGUAGUC